RNAcentral lists this ribosomal RNA (475 nucleotides) under uncultured bacterium. RNAcentral describes it as "bacterial SSU rRNA". It matches the Rfam family "Bacterial small subunit ribosomal RNA", at positions 32 to 482 of the family's 1533-position model. The record is from RNAcentral.
AAUCAACGCUGGCGGCGUGCCUAACACAUGCAAGUCGAACGCGAAAGCCCCUUCGGGGGUAAGUAGAGUGGCGUCCGGGUGAGUAACACGUAGGUAAUCUACCUUCGGGUGGGGAAUAACCAGUCGAAGAUUGGCUAAUACCGCAUAAUGCAGCGGCACCUAAUGGUGAUUAGUUGUUAAAGCGGGGGAUCGUAAGACCUCGCGCCUGAAGAGGAGCCUGCGGCAGAUUAGCUAGUUGGGAGGUAAUGGCUCACCAAGGCUUCGAUCUGUAGCUGGUCUGAGAGGACGGCCAGCCACACUGGCACUGACACACGGGCCAGACUCCUACGGGAGGCAGCAGUGGGGAAUUUUGGGCAAUGGGCGAAAGCCUGACCCAGCAACGCCGCGUGAGGGAGGAAAUCCUUCGGGAUGUAAACCUCACAAGCAAGGGAAGAGAGCUCAGGGCCGAAUAAGCUUUGAGUCCGACGGUACCUUG